ACUAGAGUAGCACUCGCAUAUCAAUAAGCGGAGGAAAAGAAACUAACAAGGAUUCCCCUAGUAACGGCGAGUGAAGCGGGAAGAGCUCAAAUUUGAAAUCUUAAAGGGUUUCCCUUUACGAAUUGUAGUUUAAAGAAGUGUUUUCUGUUGAGGUUUUGGUAAAAGUUCUUUGGAAUAGGACAUCAUAGAGGGUGAGAAUCCCGUAUUUGACCUUUACUUUCAACUUUGUGAUACACUUUCAAAGAGUCGGAUUGUUUGGGAAUGCAGUCCAAAAUGGGUGGUAAAUUUCAUCUAAAGCUAAAUAUUGGCGAGAGACCGAUAGCGAACAAGUACCGUGAGGGAAAGAUGAAAAGAACUUUGAAAAGAGAGUUAAACAGUACGUGAAAUUGUCAAAAGGGAAGCGUUUGACACCAGUGUUGUUUUUCUGAAAAUCAAUUAAAGAACUGUUUAUGCUAAGCUGUUUAGACUUUAUCAGCUAUCUGUUUAGUUUUGAGCUUUUCUUUAAUGCACUUUUCAGUUAACAAGUCAACAUCAAUUUCUUUUGCUGUAAAAAAGCUUGAGGAAGGUGGCUUGAGAUUCGUCUUAAGUGUUUAUAGCCUCUUGCCUAUGCAGUCGGAGAGAUUGAGGUCUGCAGCGUAGAUCCUUCGGGGCUAAAUGCAUUUGUGCUAAGUUAUAGCAUUUUAUAGACAACUUGUUGACUAUGAUUUGUCUUGUAGCUUACUCGCUUAUGUUAUUUUACCUACGCUUAGGAUGUUGAUCUACAGAGCGAGAGU
This 773-nucleotide ribosomal RNA is filed under the name uncultured Neocallimastigales. RNAcentral describes it as "partial large subunit ribosomal RNA". It matches the Rfam family "Eukaryotic large subunit ribosomal RNA", at positions 20 to 635 of the family's 3401-position model. Lineage: Eukaryota; Fungi; Neocallimastigomycota; Neocallimastigomycetes; Neocallimastigales. The record is from RNAcentral.